Molecule: ribosomal RNA, 482 nt
Filed under: uncultured bacterium
Lineage: Bacteria
Description: partial 16S ribosomal RNA
Rfam family: Bacterial small subunit ribosomal RNA
Source: RNAcentral
AUUGAACGCUGGCGGCAUGCUUUACACAUGCGAGUCGAACGGUAACAGGCCGCAAGGUGCUGACGAGUGGCGAACGGGUGAGUAAUGCAUCGGAACGUGCCCAGUCGUGGGGGAUAACUACUCGAAAGAGUAGCUAAUACCGCAUACGAUCUAUGGAUGAAAGCGGGGGACCGUAAGUCCUCGCGCGAUUGGAGCGGCCGAUGUCAGAUUAGGUAGUUGGUGGGGUAAAGGCUCACCAAGCCAACGAUCUGUAGCUGGUCUGAGAGGACGACCAGCCACACUGGGACUGAGACACGGCCCAGACUCCUACGGGAGGCAGCAGUGGGGAAUUUUGGACAAUGGGCGCAAGCCUGAUCCAGCAAUGCCGCGUGCAGGAAGAAGGCCUUCGGGUUGUAAACUGCUUUUGUACGGAACGAAACGGCUCUGGUUAAUACCUGGGGCUAAUGACGGUACCGUAAGAAUAAGCACCGGCUAACUACGUG